RNAcentral lists this ribosomal RNA (403 nucleotides) under uncultured bacterium. Its description in RNAcentral is "bacterial SSU rRNA". It matches the Rfam family "Bacterial small subunit ribosomal RNA", at positions 29 to 477 of the family's 1533-position model. The record is from RNAcentral.
AACGAACGCUGGCGGCAGGCCUAACACAUGCAAGUCGAACGCUGUAGCAAUACAGAGUGGCAGACGGGUGAGUAACGCGUGGGAACCUUCCCAGUGGUGCGGAAUAGCUCAGGGAAACUUGAGGUAAUACCGCAUAAGCCCCUAGGGGGAAAGAUUUAUCGCCAUUGGAUGGGCCCGCGUCGGAUUAGCUAGUUGGUGAGGUAAUGGCUCACCAAGGCAACGAUCCGUAGCNGGUUUGAGAGAAUGACCAGCCACACUGGGACUGAGACACGGCCCAGACUCCUACGGGAGGCAGCAGUGGGGAAUCUUGGACAAUGGGCGCAAGCCUGAUCCAGCCAUGCCGCGUGAGUGACGAAGGCCUUAGGGUUGUAAAGCUCUUUUGCCGGGGACGAUAAUGACGGUA